CUUGGAUCACCGCAAGAAUAGUCUAGAAGAAGUACGCCAUUGAGUUACCUACGCUAAGAAUUGAGUCUUAUGAGUUCCCUACAGUCAGCUACCAAAGAAACACAUGGGGUUUAGCCAGCAUAUAGCGCAUCAUGACGCCAAAAGUAGCGCGUGGCUUGCGGCCAACGACCCGCACGCCGGUCUUUUGAAGUUGCGUUGACCUUUGGCUUGUCCGGCAUUCCACGCUUGGCACGAUUCUUAGCGAGCAAGCUUACUGGCUAAUUUGAAUCGUCUGUGGGAAUGAGAUGCACGAUUUUGGGGGAUUUCGUGGAUAAAUUCUUUUGAUGCUCGGGUUCGCAAAUUUCAACUUCGUUGAAUUUCGCGAACUAUGGAGACAAUGUCUAAAAUUUCGCGGUAUCUGAGGAUUUUCCCAACCCGGAAUCGUUCACUUUGUUCCGUUCCGUGGAAGAGGCAAAAGCGGUCAAUUUUGUUCCGUGCCGUAGUGUGUUUUGUAAGUCGAGCAUAAGUUAGAAAAGCUCAAUUCAGUCAGUUGAUUGUAUAUUGUGUGUGCGUAGAUCCAUGUUAAGAAAGGUCCGUGGCAGCAUUAAAUUGGCGAAGCCGACACACUACACCAAUCCGAUAAGACCGUCUUUUGACCCCACGCAUCGGCUACAAAGAUUCCCGGGGUACACUUGGCCGGA
Molecule: long non-coding RNA, 680 nt
Organism: Armigeres subalbatus
Lineage: Eukaryota; Metazoa; Arthropoda; Insecta; Diptera; Culicidae
Exons: 3
Source: RefSeq, a predicted model, not a curated record